CCCUAGUACAAUUCCCUUGAGUUGAUCAUGGCUCGAACGAACGCUGGCGGCAGGCUUAACACAUGCAAGUCGAACGCGUGUAGCAAUACACGAGUGGCGCACGGGUGAGUAACGCGUGGAUAUCUGCCUUUUGGUUCGGAAUAACCCCGGGAAACUGGGGCUAAUACCGGAUGGUUCCUUCGGGAUAAAGAUUUAUCGCCAAAAGAUGAGUCCGCGUACGAUUAGCUAGUUGGUGAGGUAAUGGCUCACCAAGGCGACGAUCGUUAGCUGGUCUGAGAGGACGAUCAGCCACACUGGGACUGAGACACGGCCCAGACUCCUACGGGAGGCAGCAGUGGGGAAUAUUGGACAACGGGGGCAACCCUGAUCCAGCCAUGCCGCGUGAGUGAUGAAGGCCUUCGGGUUGUAAAGCUCUUUUGGCGGGGACGAUGAUGACGGUACCCGCAGAAUAAGCCCCGGCUAACUUCGUGCCAGCAGCCGCGGUAAGACGAAGGGGGCUAGCGUUGUUCGGAAUUACUGGGCGUAAAGCGCGUGUAGGCGGUUGUUCAAGUCGGGUGUGAAAGCCUUGAGCUCAACUCAAGAAAUGCACUCGAUACUGGAUGACUCGAGGACCGGAGAGGAUAGUGGAAUUCCCAGUGUAGUGGUGAAAUACGUAGAGAUUGGGAAGAACACCAGUGGCGAAGGCGGCUAUCUGGACGGUUUCUGACGCUGAGACGCGAAAGCGUGNGGAGCAAUCANGAUUAGAUACCCUGGUAGUCCACGCCGUAAACGAUGGGUGCUAGACGUUG
This 788-nucleotide ribosomal RNA is filed under the name uncultured bacterium. RNAcentral describes it as "bacterial SSU rRNA". It matches the Rfam family "Bacterial small subunit ribosomal RNA", at positions 1 to 825 of the family's 1533-position model. The record is from RNAcentral.